RNAcentral lists this ribosomal RNA (253 nucleotides) under uncultured bacterium. RNAcentral describes it as "partial 16S ribosomal RNA". It matches the Rfam family "Bacterial small subunit ribosomal RNA", at positions 524 to 776 of the family's 1533-position model. The record is from RNAcentral.
UACAGAGGGGGCAAGCGUUGUUCGGAAUUACUGGGCGUAAAGGGCGCGUAGGCGGCCUUCUAAGUCGAACGCGAAAUCCCCGGGCUCAACCCGGGAACUGCGUCCGAUACUGGAAGGCUUGAAUCCGGGAGAGGGAUGUGGAAUUCCAGGUGUAGCGGUGAAAUGCGUAGAUAUCUGGAGGAACACCGGUGGCGAAGGCGACAUCCUGGACCGGUAUUGACGCUGAGGCGCGAAAGCCAGGGGAGCAAACGGG